This 865-nucleotide ribosomal RNA is filed under the name uncultured bacterium. Its description in RNAcentral is "bacterial SSU rRNA". It matches the Rfam family "Bacterial small subunit ribosomal RNA", at positions 1 to 872 of the family's 1533-position model. The record is from RNAcentral.
GAUUGUUGAUCCUGGCUCAGAUUGAACGCUGGCGGCAUGCUUUACACAUGCAAGUCGAACGGUAACAGGCCGCAAGGUGCUGACGAGUGGCGAACGGGUGAGUAAUGUAUCGGAACGUGCCCAGUCGUGGGGGAUAACGCAGCGAAAGCUGCGCUAAUACCGCAUACGAUCUAUGGAUGAAAGCGGGGGACCGUAAGGCCUCGCGCGAUUGGAGCGGCCGAUAUCAGAUUAGGUAGUUGGUGGGGUAAAGGCUCACCAAGCCAACGAUCUGCAGCUGGUCUGAGAGGACGGCCAGCCACACUGGGACUGAGACACGGCCCAGACUCCUACGGGAGGCAGCAGUGGGGAAUUUUGGACAAUGGGCGCAAGCCUGAUCCAGCAAUGCCGCGUGCAGGAAGAAGGCCUUCGGGUUGUAAACUGCUUUUGUACGGAACGAAACGGUCCUGGUUAAUACCUGGGGCUAAUGACGGUACCGUAAGAAUAAGCACCGGCUAACUACGUGCCAGCAGCCGCGGUAAUACGUAGGGUGCAAGCGUUAAUCGGAAUUACUGGGCGUAAAGCGUGCGCAGGCGGUUUUGUAAGACAGGCGUGAAAUCCCCGGGCUUAACCUGGGAAUGGCGCUUGUGACUGCAAAGCUGGAGUGCGGCAGAGGGGGAUGGAAUUCCGCGUGUAGCAGUGAAAUGCGUAGAUAUGCGGAGGAACACCGAUGACGAAGGCAAUCCCCUGGGCCUGCACUGACGCUCAUGCACGAAAGCGUGGGGAGCAAACAGGAUUAGGUACCCUGGUAGUCCACGCCCUAAACGAUGUCAGCUGGUUGUUGGGUCUCUUCUGACUCAGUAACGAAGCUAACGCGUGAAGUGACCGC